CCCCUGUAAAAGAGUUAGAGGAAGAGAAUCACAGUGAGAGAGGGGAACCGGCCAGGCAGAGACAGCAAGUGCGGUUCAUCGCUCCAGUACCUUUCCGUUCACCUUCACACCCCUGGGCCAGACUACACUAUCAUAGGACCUACUGAAGAGAUGAGUCUUCAAUAAAGACUUAAAGGUUGAGGCCGAGUGUGCGUCUCUCACAUGGAUAGGCAGACCAUUCCAUAAAAAUUGAGUUCUAUGGGAGAAGGGCCUGCCUCCAGCCUAGAAAUUCUAGGGACAGUAAGGAGGCCUCAUGUCAACAUCAUACUUUCAAAAUCCUAGCUAGCAGUCAUCAUGAAUCAAGUUGACAAUAUACUGGCAAAUCCUUUUCAAUCCUUGUCAUAUGAAGAGAAAUAAUGAAGAGAAAUGAUAGAUAAAACUUAUCGGUGCUCAUCAGCCAUUGGACAUAAACAUUACACAAGUUGGAAAUAGCAAAUUCAACAAUGAGUGGUUUGGAAGGAAUCAGUGACAGUGGCCUUGUGAUCCCAAAUGUGGGAUUAAGGGGCUCUUUUCCAAGUUUAAAAUUGUAUAAACAUUCAAUAUUGGCCAUGCUGUCAAUUAGCAUGAUUUGUGCCGCGCUCAAAACAACUUAAAAACUUGUCUUCAGUGAGUUCAAGACAACUGGGAAGUCGAGAAUAAACGAGCUCUGAUUGGGAAAAUAAGUUUUGAACGGUCAUUCAACUCGGAAUUGUAAAUCUGGCCUCUUUCUAAAGCUACGACCUGGAGAUCAAUGACGCCAUUAUGAUUCGACCUUGUUUUUUUCACAGUUCCAAGUUUAUGAAAGCACCAUAAAUCCAUAGAAUGUUAGACUUUGAUGACAAAAUCUGCUCACGAAGGUCCGCGGUGCCACCUUCCUGUUCAAGUGAAGACAGCACAACAAGGUGAGUCCAAAAAUGUAUUGUAUGCUGCUGCAUAAAUUAUGUAAUAUGCCAGGGAGAUAUGUAUACUGUAGCUAAGAAAGUAAUAGUAAGUGUAUAUUGUGUAGUUAGAUGUUAAUAGCCCACCCUAAUCAUUUGGUCUAUUUACCCCUCUUAAUUUUGCCUACUGUUCUGACUUGGUGGUGCACAUGUAGCCUAUAACCUGCUUUAGAGAAAUGUAAUCAUUGAAUAUUGUAAGAGCUUAUAUGGCCCCUUUAUUUAUCCUACGGUUCUGACUUGGUGUACAGGGACAACAGUGUAAGAACGCCCCAUGUUCUGAAUUUUCUCGCUGUACAUUUCAAGUGCUAAACAGAUAGUUGUAUUGAUUACGUCCGUCCUAGUUCGCUCAUUAAUGUCUUAAUCAAAAUUACGGAUUGCCUCUUAUCCCCAUGUCGUCCCCUUAGGCCAUAGUUUGUACAUCUCAACUAGAUUUGUUUAAGCAAGUCAGCCAUAUCAACUAUGUUUUUUUUAAAGGCCAUAAAUGAGUCAGAAUUAACUGUUUCGCUGGCAGACAAGGCUCCGCUGAUAGCCAGGUGUAUUCAUGGUAAAAUGUUGGGACUGCUUUAUGUAGGCCCUAACAGUUUGGGCACCGUUUGUCAUCAUUUUAUUGCAAUUAAUGUAUUGUUUAGUGUUGUGUAGUGGCUUUGCUCGCAUUCACCCCCCCCUUUUUUUUGCCCCACCAAGAUUGACAUGCUAAGAUGAUUAUUGGUCUGUGAUAUGGGAGGUCUUCAGUUUUAGAGGAAGUGUAGCUCUCUAUGUGCAUGGCAGAAUAAUAGAUUUGUCUACUCUGGGUCUGGGUGGUUAGUUAGUAUGCAGUGUUGCAGACAGGUGCUGCUCUUGGUAAUUGGAGGCAGAGGAUGGAUAACCCAGAGAUGUAUUUGUGUGCCAUUUACAGCUUUUAGUUCUCCACAAGUGGACCAUUACCUAAAAUACAUCUCCACCCCACAGCCUGGCUCUCAUCAUGGCCACAACAAUUAUUUGAGGAAUCCUCACAAAAAUGUUUUGCCAUUGUCAAUGGAUGCCAGAUAUUAGCAUUUUUCUCAUGAAUUGUCUGACAAAAACAUCCCUUUGCUUUAUACCUGGAUUGACUGGAUGACUGGAGAGACUUCCGGCGCCGACAGAGAUGGCCGCCUCGCUUCGCAUUCCUAGGAAACUAUGCAGUAUUUUGUUUUUGUACGUGUUAUUUCUUACAUUGGUACCCCAGGUAAUCUUAGGUUUCAUUACAUACAGCCGGGAGGAACUACUGAAUAUAAGAGCAACAUCAACUCACCAUCAUUACGACCAGGAAUAUGACUUUCCUCAAGCAUUUCGCUACACUCGCAUUAACAUCUGCUAACCAUGUGUAUGUGACAAAUAAAAUUUGAUUUGGAUUGGUAUGAAGUGUCAUUUUAAUAAUUUGUAGAUACCAGUUAAAUCCUUGCUUAACGUAUUGCCUAUAUAAUACAAUUAAUAAAAUAGGCGAUUGUAUACCUUUUAAAUAUUUUUUAAUGAAGCAAAUCCAAAUGAGAAAUGGUUGUAAAAUUAAUAAGAAAUACAUUAUCAAAUGUCUCCAUCUGCUGGCGAAUUAUAGGCCCACCAUUCAACCAUCCACGGACUUCCACUUCUAAUAGGAGCUCUCUCAAUGCACAUGUCUGUGGGGAAAGACCUGAACGGCGGGGAAACACCUGAACGUAGGACACGAACAACAAAAGCCUAAAAUGCUUGUGCGUAAAAGGUACCUGAACGGAGGACACGCACAACAAAAGCUUAAAAUGCUAGUGCGGUAGAGAGGUAGAUAGCUUUUAAAUACUAGCAUUACGCGAUGUUCUUGACAAUUACACAAUUUUCCUCUCAAUAUUAGUUAUUUUCUAUAGAGUUAUAAUCAGUCAUUCAUUUAAAAAUGUUCCUGUGCGUUCUCCUCCAUGGUCAUCCCCCGUUCAGCCAGAAGGACAUUCCACGUCACAAAAUGGGUAUUUUCAUAAAGUUGUUGAUAUUUGCCUACGGCCACUGGAGAGGUUACAGGCCGGUAGGCCUACUCCUUUCAACUCCUGCUGUCCUGAUAUAUCCCUGGUAAGUUCCCUCUAAUAACUGUUAGUGAUGGGUCGUUCGCGAACGAGUCAAGAGCCGGCUCGCAUAUCAGAAGAGCCGAAUCUAUUAAUAAAAAUAUAUAAACAAUGAAUCAUCAAACGAUUUAAAUUAAUAGAAUUAACUCAUUCAAAGAACGAAAAUAUAAAUAAAAUAAUAUAGGCCUAAAUACUCAAGCGCACACAUUCGUUCUGACUGUCUGCUCAGACGAACACUCACCUGUUGUUCCUGUCAGACACGCAGUGUCAACCAAUGAACCAAAGAUGCGUGAGGGAGGGCGGAGCCAACUCACUCUCAGUCACACACUUGGCAGCGGAGGAGAGAGAGGAAGGACAGCUGUGAAAACUACAGCUGGAAAAUGAGUCGGAAGCACAGUAGCAUUUGGAUGCAUUUUAAUAAUGUAGACAUAUGAGAUUUUGUUUUGGCAAAUUCUGCACUAAAGCCGGUUCUACGCACAACCCACACCUGCAUUUGUGAACUGUGCACCCAUCUGCGAAGCUAGCUGUAAGCGAAGCUUCGAGAAACUAGCGGGCCUGCUAGUAAUAGCGGCGGAGCCAGUACCCUCAUACGUGUUUACAUUACAAAGUUAUACUUUAAUUGCAAAUACGUAAUAUAAUUAUUUUUCAUAACAAACCAAUGCAUUUUUAAAUACAUUGUGGUUAAGAGAUGCAAGAGAUGCUAAGAAACAGGUGUCAUAGAUGGAUGUGCAGCUGUCUUCAAAGGUAGAACAAUAGACACUCCCAUCCAGAGCAAUCGCAGGGUCAAGUGCCCCGCCCAAGGGCACAUCAACAAAUCUCCCACCAAGUCAAAUCGGGGACCCAAACCAUAGAACAAGCUCCCAACCGCCAGGCCACCAACCAUCCAAGACGCCCCCGAAUCCAAACUACUUAAGUCGUUUUUUGGGGUAUCUGUACUUUUCUUUACUAUUUAUAUCUUUGCCUACUUCACUACAUAUCUAAACACAAUAAUGUACUUUUUACUCCAUACAUUUUCCCUGACAUCCAAAAUUACAUUUUGACUUAAAUGGUCCAAUUCACACACUUAUCAAGAGAACAUCCCUGGUCAUCCCUACUGCCUCUGAUCUGACAGACAAAUUAUGCCUGAGUGUUGGUGUGCCCCUGGAUAUCAGUAAAUACGUUUUUUUUUAACAAUAAAAUUGUGCUUUCUGGUUUACAUAAUAUAAGGGAAGUUGAUGUUAUUAAUACUUUUACUUUUUAUACUUAAGUAUAUUUAAAACCAAAUACUUUUACUCCGGUAGUAUUUUACUGGGUGACUUUUACUUGAGUCCUAUACUAUUAAGGUAUCUUUACCUUUACUCAAGUAUGACAAUUUAGUACUUUUUCCGCCACUGCCCUAAUCUAUGGAUUUCACAUGACUGGGAAUACAGACAUGUAACUGUUGGUCAGUAUCUGGUGUGACCACCAUUAGCCUCAUGCAACGUAACACAUCUCCUUCACAUAGUGUUUUGAUUGUGGAAUGUUGUCCCACUCCUUAUCAAUGGCUGUGCAAAGUUGCUGGAUAUUGGCGGGAACUGGAACACGCUGUCGUACACGUCGAUCCCAAACAUGUUCAAUGGGUGACAUCUGGUGAAUAUGCAGGCCAUGGAAGAACUGGGACAUUUUCAGCUUCCAGGAAUUGUGUACAGAUCAUUGUGAAAUGGGACUGUGAAUAAUCAUGCUGAAACAUGAGGUGAUGGCAGCGAAUGAAUGGCACGACAAUGAGCCUCAGGAUCUCAUCACAGUAGCUGUGCAUUCAAAUUGCCAUUGAUAAAAUGCAAUUGUGGUCAUUGUAGCUUGUGCCUGCCCAUACCAUAACCCCACCGCCAUCAUGGAUCACUCAGUUCACAAUGUUGAAAUCAGCAAACCGCUCACCGACACGGCGCCAAUCACGGGGUCUGCGGUUGUGAGGCCGAUUGGACGUACUGCCAAAUUCACUAAAACGACGUUGGAGGCGGGUUAAGGUAGAGAAAUUAACAUGUAAUUAUUGACAUUCGUGCAGUCAACAUGCCAAUUGCACGCUCCCUCAAUUUGAGAUAUCUGUGGCAUUGUGUUGUGUGACAACUGCCCAUUUUAGAGCAACCUUUUAUUGUCCACAGCACAAGGUGCAUCUGUGUAAUGAUCAUGCUGUUUACUCAGCUUCUUGAUAUGCCACACCUAUCAGGUGGAUGGAUUAUUUUGGCAAAUUAGAAAUGCUCACUAACAGGGAUGUAAACAAAUUUGUGCAUCAAAUUUGAGCGAGAUAAGCUUUUUGUGAGUAUGGAACAUUUUUGGGAUCUUUUAUUUCAGCUCAUGAAACAUGGGACCAACAAUUUGCAUGUUGAAUUUUAUAUUUUUGUUCAAUGUAAAUGCCUCAUGUAGUAUUAGAUCGGUAAUAUUGUUUAAAGAUGCACUAUGCAGAAAUCACUCCUCCAUUUCCUGGUUGCUAAAAUUCCAAUAUUUCGCUUAAUUUCAGUUUAUGUGACAAAACCAGUAAGUAUAGUUUAGUGAAUCAUUGUACCAUCUAAACUGUCAUAAAAUAUAUUUUCCAUAACCAAAAAUAUUGUAUUUUCAGCUGUUUGAAGCUAGUGUCCAAAACCGAAAGUAAAAGAAGCAAAAACAAAACUUAAGAACCGGGACACAUAGAAAUAGCCCACAUACAGUAGAACAGAUUUACGGCUUCUUAGACUUGCUUUCAUUGAGAAUGGCAGAUCUAUAACACAUUUCUAUGUGAAUUUGGUUGGGUCAGCCAAAAAGUUACAUAGCGCAGAUUUGAGUGAAGUCCCCACCAUGCUUCAGAAUGAAUGUUUCAUGCAAUCUGCUCUUAUCAUCACUCUGCAUUAGUGUACACUUUUGUUAACCAUGACUAACCUCUACUACCUAGGAAGGCACAAACACUACAUGACCAAAAGUAUGUGGAUACCUGCUCGUCGAACAUCUCAUUCCAAAAUCAUGGGCAAUAAUAUGGAGUUGGCUGCUAUAUCAGCCUCCACUCUUCUGGGAAGGCUUUCCACUAGAUGUUGGAACAUUGCUGCAGGGCCUUGCUUCCAUUCAGCCACGAGCAUUAUUGAGGUCGGGCACUUAAUGUUGGGCGAUUAGGCCAGGCUCGCAGUCUGCAUUCCAAUUCAUCUCAAAGGUAUUUGAUGGGGUUGAGGUCAGGGCUCUGUGCAGGCCAGUCAAGUUCUUCAACACAACUGUUGCCACAAAGUUGGAACCACAGAAUCGUCUAGAAUGUCAUUGUAUGCUGUAGCGUUAAGAUUUCCCUUCACUGGAACUAAUGGGCCUAGCCCGAACCAUAAAAAAACAGCCACCAAAUUUUACAGUUCGCACUAUGUAUUGAGCCAGGUUGUGUUGUCCUGGCAUCCGCCAAACCCAGAUUUUUAUCCGUCGGACUACUAGAUUGUAAAGCGUGAUUCAUUACUCCAGAGAACGCGUUUCCAAAGUCCAAUGGUGGCAAGCUUUACACCACUCCAGCAAAAGCUUGGCAUUGCGCAUGGUAAUCUUAGGUUCGUGUGCGGCUGCUCGGCCAUAGAAACCCAUUUCAUGAAGCUCCCGACGAACAGUUAUUGUGCUGACGUUGCUUCCAGAGGCAGUUUUGAACUUGGUAGUGAGUGUUGCAACCGAGGACAGACUAUUUUUACGCGCUAUGCGCUUCAGCACUCGAUGGCAUCCUAUGACGGUGCCACGUUGAAAGUCUAUGCAUAGUCACUUUAAUUACUCUACCUACAUGUACAUGACCUUAAUACCAGUGCCCAUGUACAUUGACUCUGUACCGGUCAGUACCCAUUGUAUAUAGUCUUGCUUUUGUUAUUUACUGCUGCUCUUAAAUUACUUGUUCUUCUUAUCUCUUACUUUUUGGUGGGUAUUUUCUUAACUGCAUUGUGACAAAUAAAAUUUGUUUUGAGCUCUUCAGUAAGGCCAGGAGAAUGAAUGGCUGUGUUCCCGAUUGUAUAGCCCUGUCAGCGAUGGGUGUGGCUGAAAUAGCCAAAUCCACUAAUUUUAAGGGGUGUCCACAUACUUUUGUAUAUAUAGUGUAGAAGGGCAUAGUACAGAACAUUAUAAGGUCAACCUCAAGAAAACACUUUUUAAGUUGAAAUUAAAAUGCAUUCUGUCACAAAUGCUUAGCACUCUACUGCAUUGCAUCCAUCAGGUCAGAGUGUGUCCCCAUUAGCCCAUUUGGUCCAUGAGAGAUCCCAGGAGACUGUUCUCUGGGGGGGCUGGAGUUCUAGCAGAUGGGCCACUAUGGACUCAUCUGCAGAAGCACACUCUGGAGAGGACAUAUCUACUGCUGUGGUGGUCAAGACACUCAGGGGUAUGCUCUUGUACUGCACAGCGCUAUCAGAGGCUGUGUGUGUGUGUGGAACAUAGUUGCAUCUAUUUGGAGUGUUUGCCUCAAGAAAGUUUGAGUUAUGGAAUAGAUUUGUGAGUACCUCACAGGUAAAAACAAUACAUUUUGGAAUUGACCUCUUAGCGGGAAUUUCUCAUCCCACUGUAUUAAAUAGAAAAACAAGUUAAGUGGAUAUUGUUCCUUUUGAUAAGUUGAAAACUUUGGUGAAAUCUCUUACGUGCAGUAUACUGUGUCUCCUUUCAAAUGGCUUAAAACAGCCUGAGGCAAGAGUUUGUGGACGGGAUCCUUUUCCAUGGGACAAUGUGUAAACAUCUCCACCUGGUCCAGUCCAGAUGCUGUGGUGCCAGUACGAACCACUACCCAUGUACCUGGUUCUGUAGUCCUGGCAACCUCCUGCAUUACCUAUGGACCCUGAGGAAUGUAAGACAACAAAGGCCGGGACUUCACGUUCAACUUAGCUGUAACUACUUUGCUGAAAUCGUACUCAGCAGUGCUCUUACUAAUCAACUAUGUUGAAUAAUUCUAUUCCCAAUAUUAUGUAAAAUCAUUAUUACAUUUUUCAGAUACAUUUAAUUAAAAGGUUCAGAGAGAAAUAAUUGGUCCAUUUAAUUUCAGACAUUUAAUUCCAGUCAUCCACUGACUUAAAUAAGAUUAAAUAAAUUUCCCUGUUCUCCAAAGGGAUUCAGAGUCCUUGGAUCCACUCCAGCACUUUUCAGAGAGAUCAGUGUUUUUGGUGGCAAAGAAGAUGGCAGCAGGCCAACAUGACAAGCUGGCCAAUCAGGGGACAGCUGAUGUCCCUCUCAAAUGGCAGGUUCCAGAGAGGAUGAAGCAUCCAACUAGACAGGAGUGAUGUGUGAGCGUUGGGACUUAAUCUGUGUUUGGGAAUCUGCCCCCGUAGCCUAGAGUAUACGUAGAUGCUUGUUUAAUUAACGUUCUGACUAAAUAUUUCUACAUGCCUUUGUUGCUUUUUGUAAUAUCAACAUGCUUGAUAGCGGUUUUCCUCUCACCCUCAGAUGAUCUUUUGGAAUCUAUACGUCAUAUAUGAAUUGAUCACAUUGGGUAACUGUUACCUUGCACAUAUCUGAUUUAAAGUAAUUUUGCAAAUAUACCUCACCAAUAAGCUAACAAAAUUUAGGGUGACCAGUUUUAGUGGAGGAAAAAAAGUCUGUAUAAUAUUCUCAUUAAACAAAAAUGUAUAUUCAAUCACUCCACAGCCAAGUAAAGCCUGUUAUUAGCUGUGUACCGCCUCCAUGUUGUGGCCACCUAUUUAAUGUCAUUGGGCUCUCAUUCUGUGCUAUUCAGAUCUCUCAGGUAUGGAUGUGGAGCUUCAAGGACCGGCCUGUGUUCUCCGCCAUCAUCAAGCUUCUGGAGUCCUACACAUACCUGAUACUAGACAUCUACAUCCCAGAGGGCAUAGACAUCUUUGACUACACCAAGAGGGCAGGUGUGCUCCUCUAAAUAUCUAGCCUAAAGCAUCACAUUCAUGAAUGAAGAGGCUAAAAGCAAGCAGGGGCAGACUGGCCAUCUGGCAAAUGCCAGAUGGCCGGUCCAUUUUUAGCUCAGUGAGUUUAACUUUUUUUUGUUCAAAAUUAUUAUCUGGCGAUAAACUAGAAAUUGGCCAGUGAGGGGGGCCUCGAAAAUAAAUGGCCUGGCGUGAUAAACGCCAGGGCCAAUUUCUGGUCCCAGUCUGCCCCUGAAAGCAAGGAUUUGGUCCCUUACAAAGCAUUGCUGUAGUUGAUUCUAGGUUCAGGUGUACUGUGGCAUCAACAUCAAGAGAGAUUUUAUUAAACCUAGAUUAAAUGUUGUAAAUUAUUUAACAUAAGGGUGUGUAAGUAUUGUAUGGCGAAUGCAACCUAUAGCCUUAUUGUAAGAUUGUACACAUGUUGUAGAACACUGGGGAUUUUUGGAUGAGUGAGAAUUUCAGCACAAAAUGGAUGUCAGGAAGAAAAAUCUUCUAAUGUUAUUGUCACGUCACAAUUGCUCACCUCACAUGUUUGGUCCAUCAGUAGUGAGUUAUUUUUUGAAAUUGUACAGAUGUAAUAAGCGUUCUUGAUGUCAUCUUGUCAUGAAACCAGGCAAGUCAUUAUAAAUCACCACUUUUUAUUGUCAAAAGGUACAGAAUAAAAAAUACAGAUCUUCAUAAGACGAUUACUGGUUUAUAAUUGGGUGAGUAUCACUCUUGUGCAUUGAACUGUAGUAAUGAGGCAUGUAUUGUGGUCAUACAGUUGAAGUCUUGAAGUCACUGAUCAUGCUACGCAAAAUUGGCCUUUAAGUGUACUUCACUCCCUCUACGCUGUUGAUUUUGUUCAUAAAAUUGCACGUCAUUGACCAUGAUGUUAACAAACCAGCAGUUUGGACCACGUGGAGGUGACAUUUAUAGGUGUACUGUAGAGUUGCUGUUGUCAGUCUCAAGACAUUUCAAAACAAACUCGUCACAUUGUCUCCAUCACUCACACACAUCUAAAAUCCUAAAGCGAGGCACAAACCGCCAUUUUCAUAACACACCCAGUCAUGCGGAAAUGGAAUAAGUCCUUGCUCGACCGACUGGAUCAAGAACAGGAAUAUCUAGAUAUUUUCACACUACUGAGCAGAGCCGAACCAAGCCAAGAUGAGCAGGACUAGUUACACAUAAACCAUAGUUACUGGAACAGUGCUGGAAAGGACAGCAGGAAAGGAAAUGAUCCAAGCCAGCACAGUUCGGGCCGGCACUAGUGUUAUGGAAAAAAAAUAA
Molecule: long non-coding RNA, 10074 nt
Organism: Oncorhynchus keta (chum salmon)
Lineage: Eukaryota; Metazoa; Chordata; Actinopteri; Salmoniformes; Salmonidae
Exons: 3
Source: RefSeq, a predicted model, not a curated record